GAUGAAGAACGUAGCGAAAUGCGAUAAGUAAUGUGAAUUGCAGAAUUCAGUGAAUCAUCGAAUCUUUGAACGCACAUUGCGCCCGCCAGUAUUCUGGCGGGCAUGACUGUUCGAGCGUCAUUUCAACCAUCAAGCCCCAGGCUUGUGUUGGGGACCUGCGGCUGCCGCAGGCCCUGAAAACCAGUGGCGGGCUCGCUGUCACACCGGGCGUAGUAGAUUUUAUCUCGCUCAGGGCGUGCUGCGGGUUCCGGCCGUUAAAAAGCCUUUUUUACCCAAGGUUGACCUCGGAUCAGGUAGGAAUACCCGCUGAACUUAAGCAUAUCAAUAAGCGGAGGA
RNAcentral lists this unclassified non-coding RNA (336 nucleotides) under soil metagenome. Its description in RNAcentral is "partial contains 5.8S ribosomal RNA, internal transcribed spacer 2, and large subunit ribosomal RNA". The stretch from base 1 to 120 matches the Rfam family "5.8S ribosomal RNA", at positions 35 to 154 of the family's 154-position model. The record is from RNAcentral.